This 466-nucleotide unclassified non-coding RNA is filed under the name Hevea brasiliensis (rubber tree). Lineage: Eukaryota; Viridiplantae; Streptophyta; Magnoliopsida; Malpighiales; Euphorbiaceae. The record is from RNAcentral.
UACUGUACAAAUCUUGGAUUAGGAAUUAUCUGAUCAAUAAUACAAUUAUUUACUCUCUCUCUCUCUCUCUGGAGGAGUGUACAAGCAAUCAUUCUCAUUCAUAAACAGGAAGAAACCCAAACAUAAUUAAAGAAAGUCAUCCACCUAUAGUGGUUUAGGCAAUGAUUCUCAUACCCACGCUAACAUUCCAUUUCAUGCUGUUUAUCAUAUGGACCCAAGUUUACCCCACAUUUUCAUCUUUGGUACUCUUUCGUAAGUUCUAUAUCAUCAUUGAAAAAUUCCAGCAACCGUCCUGAAAAAUCCAAAUCAAACGGCAACUAAUGAAUAAAAAAACUACAUGAUCUCUGAGUCAUAGCUUGAACUCUAUUGGAUGACAUGCCUUUUUUCUGGAUACCCUGUCAUGACCAAAUGGAAAGAAUGAUCUCUGAACUCUGUUACUACUUUCUUCGUUACUGCUAAUCCCUCU